AUGCACAAUUCUAACACUGCGGUUCCUGCGCGCCAUCCGCACUCGCGUGGCGACUGCCCGCUGCGCCUUGCUGGCC
RNAcentral lists this small RNA (76 nucleotides) under Xanthomonas arboricola pv. pruni. Its description in RNAcentral is "sX9". It matches the Rfam family "Xanthomonas sRNA sX9". The record is from RNAcentral. Lineage: Bacteria; Pseudomonadati; Pseudomonadota; Gammaproteobacteria; Lysobacterales; Lysobacteraceae.